AAUAGAUACCCGGGUAGUCCACGCCGUAAACGAUGAGUGCUAAGUGUUAGAGGGUUUCCGCCCUUUAGUGCUGCAGCUAACGCAUUAAGCACUCCGCCUGGGGAGUACGGUCGCAAGACUGAAACUCAAAGGAAUUGACGGGGGCCCGCACAAGCGGUGGAGCAUGUGGUUUAAUUCGAAGCAACGCGAAGAACCUUACCAGGUCUUGACAUCCUCUGACAACUCUAGAGAUAGAGCGUUCCCCUUCGGGGGACAGAGUGACAGGUGGUGCAUGGUUGUCGUCAGCUCGUGUCGUGAGAUGUUGGGUUAAGUCCCGCAACGAGCGCAACCCUUGAUCUUAGUUGCCAGCAUUUAGUUGGGCACUCUAAGGUGACUGCCGGUGACAAACCGGAGGAAGUGGGGAUGACGUCAAAUCAUCAUGCCCCUUAUGACCUGAGCUACACACGUGCUGCAAUGGAUGGUACAAAGGGCUGCAAGACCGCGAGGUCAAGCCAAUCCCAUAAAACCAUUCUCAGUUCGGAUUG
This 524-nucleotide ribosomal RNA is filed under the name uncultured bacterium. RNAcentral's name for it is "bacterial SSU rRNA". It matches the Rfam family "Bacterial small subunit ribosomal RNA", at positions 777 to 1300 of the family's 1533-position model. The record is from RNAcentral.